Molecule: ribosomal RNA, 190 nt
Filed under: Olea europaea subsp. europaea
Lineage: Eukaryota; Viridiplantae; Streptophyta; Magnoliopsida; Lamiales; Oleaceae
Description: SSU_rRNA_eukarya
Rfam family: Bacterial small subunit ribosomal RNA
Source: RNAcentral
AAAAGUUGAAAAUGUAAUUGCAAAAUUUGACACACGUGCUACAAUGGCCGGGACAAAGGGUCGCGAUCCCGCGAGGGUGAGCUAACCCCAAAAACCCGUCCUCAGUUCGGAUUGCAGGCUGCAACUCGCCUGCAUGAAGCCGGAAUCGCUAGUAAUCACCAAUCAGCCAUACGGCGGUGAAUUCGUUCCC